CAAACAACUUGAAGACUUGCUUGUGUCAAUGGAUUAACUUGUCACGGCGCGCGCAGUAGUAACAAAAGACGUUUGUGCAUGUAGUUCACGCACCAGUCGCGGCGUGAAUGAAAACCAGACGCUCAUAGAGCGAGGUAAAUUUGCGAACACAAGGUAGUCCCCACUCAGAGAUAAGCCUGUGCGUAUGGCCUCGUCUCGCGAACGAAGAGAAUAGAAACCUUUAAAAAGAGAGUGCUUGAAGAGCUAGUACUUGAAAGGAAAAUCAGUAGAGCCGGAAAGAGCACUGGUCCCAAACUUUGUAAUACUCGAAACAUGUCAUAACGUGCAUUCAAGCAGAGUCAGAAAUUCCAUAGAACAGUGCAUCAUCAUUCAGCUACACCAGAUUUAUUCCUCUGUUGUUCCCGUUCUCUCAAUAAGCUGUUCUCCGCUAAUCAUUUGAUGUUAUCAAGGUUUGGUGAUUCACGACAUCUUUUCAAUCUGUUUGUACACGAGCCGUCUCCUCGAGUUCUAGUUUGUUAUUGUAACGGCUAUCAAUUAAUUAGUGUCAUUUUUACCUUAACCAAAUAAAAAAGGGAACAUGA
Long non-coding RNA from Nematostella vectensis (starlet sea anemone), 581 nucleotides. RefSeq lists it as uncharacterized. The record is from RefSeq and is a predicted model, not a curated record. The transcript is spliced from 2 exons. Lineage: Eukaryota; Metazoa; Cnidaria; Anthozoa; Actiniaria; Edwardsiidae.